This 400-nucleotide ribosomal RNA is filed under the name phytoplankton environmental sample. RNAcentral describes it as "partial small subunit ribosomal RNA". It matches the Rfam family "Eukaryotic small subunit ribosomal RNA", at positions 587 to 966 of the family's 1831-position model. The record is from RNAcentral.
AGCUCCAAUAGCGUAUAUUAAAGUUGCUGCAGUUAAAAAGCUCGUAGUUGGAUUUGUGGCGCGGUCGUCCGGCGGGGCUUCCGGUUUCAUAGUAUCCCGGGGCCGUUUGUCUGGGUUCUUGGCCGCCCCAUUCUUCGGUUGCGUGUCGCUGGCAUUAGGUUGUCGGCUUCUUCGCGCCGAUCGUUUACUGUGAAAAAAUUAGAGUGCUCAAAGCAGGCUUCACAAGCUUGAAUAUUCGUGCAUGGAAUAAUGGAAUAGGACGUCGUUUCUAUUUUGUUGGUUUUCGGAAAUCGACGUAAUGAUAAAUAGGGACAGUCGGGGGCAUUAGUAUUCAGACGACAGAGGUGAAAUUCUUGGACCGUCUGAAGACUAACUACUGCGAAAGCAUUUGCCAAGAAUG